Molecule: ribosomal RNA, 492 nt
Filed under: uncultured bacterium
Lineage: Bacteria
Description: partial 16S ribosomal RNA
Rfam family: Bacterial small subunit ribosomal RNA
Source: RNAcentral
AGUGAACGCUGGCGGUAGGCCUAACACAUGCAAGUCGAACGGCAGCACAGUAAGAGCUUGCUCUUACGGGUGGCGAGUGGCGGACGAGUGAGGAAUACAUCGGAAUCUACUUUUUCGCGGGGGAUAACGUAGGGAAACUUACGCUAAUACCGCAUACGACCUACGGGGGAAAGCAGGGGAUCUUCGGACGUUUCUCGAUUGACUGAGCCGGUGUCGGAUUAGCUAGUUGGCGGGGUAAAGGCCCACCAAGGCGACGAUCCGUAGCUGGUCUGAGAGGAUGAUCAGCCACACUGGAACUGAGACACGGUCCAGACUCCUACGGGAGGCAGCAGUGGGGAAUAUUGGACAAUGGGCGCAAGCCUGAUCCAGCCAUACCGCGUGAGUGAAGAAGGCCUUCGGGUUGUAAAGCCCUUUUGUUAGGAAAGAAAAGCAGCAUGUUAAUACCCCGCUGUUCUGACGGUACCCAAAGAAUAAGCACCGGCUAACUUCGUG